GACGAACGCGGCGGCGUGCUUAACACAUGCAAGUCGAACGAAGAGCGACGGAAGCUUGCUUCUAUCAAUCUUAGUGGCGAACGGGUGAGUAACGCGUAAUCAACCUGCCCUUCAGAGGGGGACAACAGUUGGAAACGACUGCUAAUACCGCAUACGAUCUAAUCUCGGCAUCGAGGAUAGAUGAAAGGUGGCCUCUACAUGUAAGCUAUCACUGAAGGAGGGGAUUGCGUCUGAUUAGCUAGUUGGAGGGGUAACGGCCCACCAAGGCGAUGAUCAGUAGCCGGUCUGAGAGGAUGAACGGCCACAUUGGGACUGAGACACGGCCCAGACUCCUACGGGAGGCAGCAGUGGGGAAUCUUCCGCAAUGGACGAAAGUCUGACGGAGCAACGCCGCGUGAGUGAUGACGGCCUUCGGGUUGUAAAGCUCUGUUAAUCGGGACGAAAGGCCUUCUUGCGAAUAGUGAGAAGGAUUGACG
RNAcentral lists this ribosomal RNA (476 nucleotides) under Veillonella parvula. RNAcentral's name for it is "bacterial SSU rRNA". It matches the Rfam family "Bacterial small subunit ribosomal RNA", at positions 28 to 474 of the family's 1533-position model. The record is from RNAcentral. Lineage: Bacteria; Bacillati; Bacillota; Negativicutes; Veillonellales; Veillonellaceae.